RNAcentral lists this ribosomal RNA (291 nucleotides) under Thermobacillus sp. RNAcentral describes it as "partial 23S ribosomal RNA". It matches the Rfam family "Bacterial large subunit ribosomal RNA", at positions 2633 to 2925 of the family's 2925-position model. The record is from RNAcentral. Lineage: Bacteria; Bacillati; Bacillota; Bacilli; Caryophanales; Paenibacillaceae.
GGUCCCUAUCUGUCGCGGGCGCAGGAAAUUUGAGAGGAGCUGUCCUUAGUACGAGAGGACCGGGAUGGACGUACCGCUGGUGUACCAGUUGUUCCGCCAGGAGCACCGCUGGGUAGCCAAGUACGGAAGGGAUAAGCGCUGAAAGCAUCUAAGCGCGAAGCCCCCCUCAAGAUGAGAUUUCCCGCUGUAAAGGUAAGACCCCUGGAAGAUGACCAGGUUGAUAGGUUCGAGGUGGAAGCGCGGCAACGCGUGGAGCUGACGAAUACUAAUCGGUCGAGGGCUUAUCCUAAA